UACAGGGGGGGCAAGCGUUGUUCGGAAUUACUGGGCGUAAAGGGUCUGUAGGUGGCCAACUAAGUCAGACGUGAAAUCCCUCAGCUUAACUGGGGAACUGCGUCUGAUACUGGAUGGCUUGAAUUCGGGAGAGGGAUGCAGAAUUCCAGGUGUAGCGGUGAAAUGCGUAGAUAUCUGGAGGAAUACCGGUGGCGAAGGCGGCAUCCUGGACCGACAUUGACGCUGAUGAGCGAAAGCUAGGGGAGCAAACGGG
This 253-nucleotide ribosomal RNA is filed under the name uncultured bacterium. RNAcentral describes it as "partial 16S ribosomal RNA". It matches the Rfam family "Bacterial small subunit ribosomal RNA", at positions 524 to 776 of the family's 1533-position model. The record is from RNAcentral.